UUCCCCUAGUAACGGCGAGUGAAGAGGGAAGAGCCCAAGAUUGAAAGCUGGCGUCUUCGGCGUCCGCAUUGUAAUCUCAAGAAGUGUUUUCCGCUUCGGACCAAGCCUAAGUCCCUUGGAAAAGGGCAUCAUAGAGGGUGAUAAUCCCGUACAUGGCUUGGAGCGCCCGAGGCUUUGUGAUACGCUUUCUAAGAGUCGAGUUGUUUGGGAAUGCAGCUCAAAAUGGGUGGUAAAUGCCAUCUAAGGCUAAAUAUUGGGGAGAGACCGAUAGCGAACAAGUACAGUGAUGGAAAGAUGAAAAGAACUUUGAAAAGAGAGUUAAACAGUACGUGAAAUUGCCAAAAGGGAAGGGUAGGAGGUCAGAGAUGCGGCCUGGGAUUCAGCCUUGCUUUUGCUUGGUGUUUUUCCCAGAUUGCAGGCCAACGUCGGUUUUGGGCACUGGAGAAGGGUAGGAGGAACGUGGCACCCCUCGGGGUGUGUUAUAGCCUCCUACUGGAUACAGCGACCGAGACCGAGGACAGCAGCGUACUCGUAAGAGCGGACCCUCGGGUACCUUUACGCUUAGGGC
RNAcentral lists this ribosomal RNA (568 nucleotides) under Moesziomyces parantarcticus. Its description in RNAcentral is "eukaryotic LSU rRNA". It matches the Rfam family "Eukaryotic large subunit ribosomal RNA", at positions 75 to 619 of the family's 3401-position model. The record is from RNAcentral. Lineage: Eukaryota; Fungi; Basidiomycota; Ustilaginomycetes; Ustilaginales; Ustilaginaceae.